AGAGUUUGAUCAUGGCUCAGAAUCAACGCUGCGGCGUGCCUAACACAUGCAAGUCGAACGCGAAAGCCCCGCAAGGGGUAAGUGGAGUGGCAAACGGGUGAGUAACACGUGGGUGACCUGCCUUCGAGUGGGGGAUAACGUCCCGAAAGGGACGCUAAUACCGCAUGACAUCCUGCGUUUGGAAACGCGGAGAUCAAAGCCGGGGAUCGCAAGACCUGGCGCUUGAAGAGGGGCCCGCGCCUGAUUAGCUAGUUGGUGGGGUAAUGGCCUACCAAGGCAACGAUCAGUACCCGGCCUGAGAGGGCGGACGGACACACUGGGACUGAGACACGGCCCAGACUCCUACGGGAGGCAGCAGUGGGGAAUUGUUCGCAAUGGGCGCAAGCCUGACGACGCAACGCCGCGUGGAGGACGAAGAUCUUCGGAAAGUAAACUCCUGUCGAGCGGGAAGAGCGCUUCCCGGGUGAAUAAUCCGGGGAAUUGACGGUACCGCUAAAGGAAGCCCCGG
Molecule: ribosomal RNA, 508 nt
Filed under: uncultured Acidobacteriota bacterium
Lineage: Bacteria; Pseudomonadati; Acidobacteriota
Description: bacterial SSU rRNA
Rfam family: Bacterial small subunit ribosomal RNA
Source: RNAcentral